AAUCAUGCGAUGACAAAGAGUAGUACAUACAACUCGGUUUCCCAGAGAGUUUGUGGCAGGUGUGAACAAACAACCGGCUGUAUGGAAUGGACUUUUGAGCUUCACUUGUGAACUUUAGUAGCUAGUGACGGCAGCCUGCCGAUAUCCGGGCACCAUGUUUCAUGGACCAAGCGGCCUUUCGGGGCAACUUAGGGUGGCACCGCGGAAUAAUCCAUUCGUCCCUAUA
This 226-nucleotide non-coding RNA is filed under the name Bacillus sp. (in: firmicutes). Its description in RNAcentral is "Bacillus sp. T-box sequence". It matches the Rfam family "T-box leader". From Rfam's summary of the family: Uncharged tRNA acts as the effector for transcription antitermination of genes in the T-box leader family. T-boxes are found upstream of many aminoacyl-tRNA synthetase genes and some amino acid biosynthetic genes usually in Gram-positive bacteria. Lineage: Bacteria; Bacillati; Bacillota; Bacilli; Caryophanales; Bacillaceae. The record is from RNAcentral.